Molecule: ribosomal RNA, 510 nt
Filed under: uncultured bacterium
Lineage: Bacteria
Description: partial 16S ribosomal RNA
Rfam family: Bacterial small subunit ribosomal RNA
Source: RNAcentral
GACGAACGCUGGCGGCGUGCUUAACACAUGCAAGUCGAACGAAGAGCGAUGGAAGCUUGCUUCUAUCAAUCUUAGUGGCGAACGGGUGAGUAACGCGUAAUCAACCUGCCCUUCAGAGGGGGACAACAGUUGGAAACGACUGCUAAUACCGCAUACGAUCUAACCUCGGCAUCGAGGAAAGAUGAAAGGUGGCCUCUAUGUAUAAGCUAUCACUGAAGGAGGGGAUUGCGUCUGAUUAGCUAGUUGGAGGGGUAACGGCCCACCAAGGCGAUGAUCAGUAGCCGGUCUGAGAGGAUGAACGGCCACAUUGGGACUGAGACACGGCCCAGACUCCUACGGGAGGCAGCAGUAGGGAAUCUUCCGCAAUGGACGAAAGUCUGACGGAGCAACGCCGCGUGAGUGAUGACGGCCUUCGGGUUGUAAAGCUCUGUUAAUCGGGACGAAAGGCCUUCUUGCGAAUAGUGAGAAGGAUUGACGGUACCGGAAUAGAAAGCCACGGCUAACUACGUG